RNAcentral lists this ribosomal RNA (463 nucleotides) under uncultured bacterium. Its description in RNAcentral is "partial 16S ribosomal RNA". It matches the Rfam family "Bacterial small subunit ribosomal RNA", at positions 29 to 507 of the family's 1533-position model. The record is from RNAcentral.
AGUGAACGCUGGCGGCGUGCCUAAUACAUGCAAGUCGAACGAUGAAGUCCUAGCUUGCUAGGAUGGAUUAGUGGCGCACGGGUGAGUAAUAUAUAGUUAAUCUGCCCUACACAGAGGAACAACAGUUGGAAACGACUGCUAAUACCUCAUACUCCUAUUUGACAUAAGUUAACUAGGGAAAGUCUUUUCGGUGUAGGAUGAGACUAUAUCGUAUCAGCUAGUUGGUAAGGUAAUGGCUUACCAAGGCUAUGACGCGUAACUGGUCUGAGAGGAUGAUCAGUCACAUUGGAACUGAGACACGGUCCAAACUCCUACGGGAGGCAGCAGUAAGGAAUAUUGCGCAAUGGGGGAAACCCUGACGAAGCAACGCCGCGUGGAGGACGACACUUUUCGGAGCGUAAACUCCUUUUAUCAGGAAAGAAUAAUGACGGUACCUGAUGAAUAAGCACCGGCUAACUCCGUG